ACACCGGCAGCUCUAGUGGUAACAAUUUUUAUUGGGCCUAAAGCGUCCGUAGCCGGUUUAAUAAGUCUCUGGUGAAAUCCUGUAGCUUAACUGUGGGAAUUGCUGGAGAUACUAUUAGACUUGAGACCGGGAGAGGUUAGAGGUACUCCCAGGGUAGAGGUGAAAUUCUGUAAUCCUGGAAGGACCGCCUGUUGCGAAGGCGUCUAGCGGAACGGUUCUGACGGUGAGGGACGAAAGUUAGGGGCGCGAACCGGAUUAGAUACCCGGGUAGUCCUAACUGUAAACGAUGCGGACUUGGUGUUGGGGUGGCUUUGAGCUGCUCCAGUGCCGAAGGGAAGCUGUUAAGUCCGCCGCCUGGGAAGUACGGUCGCAAGACUGAAACUCAAAUGAAUUGGCGGGG
This 400-nucleotide ribosomal RNA is filed under the name uncultured bacterium. RNAcentral's name for it is "partial 16S ribosomal RNA". It matches the Rfam family "Archaeal small subunit ribosomal RNA", at positions 473 to 873 of the family's 1478-position model. The record is from RNAcentral.